RNAcentral lists this ribosomal RNA (439 nucleotides) under uncultured bacterium. Its description in RNAcentral is "partial 16S ribosomal RNA". It matches the Rfam family "Bacterial small subunit ribosomal RNA", at positions 339 to 795 of the family's 1533-position model. The record is from RNAcentral.
CUACGGGAUGCUCCAGUGAGGAAUAUUGCACAAUGGGGGGAACCCUGAUGCAGCAACGCCGCGUGGAGGAUGACGCAUUUCGGUGUGUAAACUCCUUUUAUAUGUCAAGAAAAUGACGGUAGCAUAUGAAUAAGCACCGGCUAACUCCGUGCCAGCAGCCGCGGUAAUACGGAGGGUGCAAGCGUUACUCGGAAUCACUGGGCGUAAAGGACGCGUAGGCGGGUUGGAAAGUCAGGUGUGAAAUCCUACAGCUUAACUGUAGAACUGCACUUGAAACUUCUAAUCUAGAGUAUGGGAGGGGGAGAUGGAAUUAGUGGUGUAGGGGUAAAAUCCGUAGAUAUCACUAGGAAUACCGAAAGCGAAGGCGAUCUCCUGGAACAUUACUGACGCUAAGGCGUGAAAGCGUGGGGAGCAAACGGGAUUAGAUACCCCGGGAGUC